Molecule: ribosomal RNA, 235 nt
Filed under: uncultured Lactobacillus sp.
Lineage: Bacteria; Bacillati; Bacillota; Bacilli; Lactobacillales; Lactobacillaceae
Description: partial 16S ribosomal RNA
Rfam family: Bacterial small subunit ribosomal RNA
Source: RNAcentral
UGCCCAAGAGAUCGGGAUAACACCUGGAAACAGAUGCUAAUACCGGAUAACAACAGAUGAUGCCUAUCAACUGUUUAAAAGAUGGUUAUGCUAUCACUCUUGGAUGGACCUGCGGUGCAUUAGCUAGUUGGUAGGGUAACGGCCUACCAAGGCGAUGAUGCAUAGCCGAGUUGAGAGACUGAUCGGCCACAUUGGGACUGAGACACGGCCCAAACUCCUACGGGAGGCAGCAGAU